UACGAGGGGGGCAAGCGUUGUUCGGAUUCACUGGGCGUAAAGGGUGCGUAGGUGGUGAGGUAAGUCGGAUGUGAAAUCUCCGAGCUCAACUCGGAAAUGGCAUUGGAAACUACCUUGCUAGAGGGUUGGAGGGGGGACUGGAAUACUUGGUGUAGCAGUGAAAUGCGUAGAUAUCAAGUGGAACACCAGUGGCGAAGGCGAGUCCCUGGACAACUCCUGACACUGAGGCACGAAAGCUAGGGGAGCAAACAGG
Molecule: ribosomal RNA, 253 nt
Filed under: uncultured bacterium
Lineage: Bacteria
Description: partial 16S ribosomal RNA
Rfam family: Bacterial small subunit ribosomal RNA
Source: RNAcentral